GUGGGGAAUAUUGGACAAUGGGCGCAAGCCUGAUCCAGCAAUGCCGCGUGGGUGAAGAAGGCCUUCGGGUUGUAAAGCCCUUUUGUACGGGAAGAAAUCAUCCGGGUUAAUACCCUGGGUGGAUGACGGUACCGUAAGAAUAAGCACCGGCUAACUUCGUGCCAGCAGCCGCGGUAAUACGAAGGGUGCAAGCGUUAAUCGGAAUUACUGGGCGUAAAGCGUGCGUAGGUGGUUGUUCAAGUCUGUCGUGAAAGCCCUGGGCUCAACCUGGGAAUGGCGAUGGAAACUGGGCGACUAGAGUGCGGUAGAGGAUGGCGGAAUUCCCGGUGUAGCGGUGAAAUGCGUAGAGAUCGGGAGGAACAUCCGUGGCGAAGGCGGCCAUCUGGACCAGCACUGACACUGAGGCACGAAAGCGUGGGGAGCAAACAGGAUUAGAUACCCCUGUAGUCC
RNAcentral lists this ribosomal RNA (450 nucleotides) under uncultured bacterium. Its description in RNAcentral is "partial 16S ribosomal RNA". It matches the Rfam family "Bacterial small subunit ribosomal RNA", at positions 354 to 796 of the family's 1533-position model. The record is from RNAcentral.